GUAUGUAGCUCAGCGGUAGAGUGCUUGCCUAGCAUGUGUGAGGCACUGGGUUUGAUUCUCAGCACCACA
This 69-nucleotide transfer RNA is filed under the name Marmota monax (woodchuck). RNAcentral's name for it is "tRNA.Ala". Lineage: Eukaryota; Metazoa; Chordata; Mammalia; Rodentia; Sciuridae. The record is from RNAcentral.